This 301-nucleotide ribosomal RNA is filed under the name uncultured bacterium. Its description in RNAcentral is "partial 16S ribosomal RNA". It matches the Rfam family "Bacterial small subunit ribosomal RNA", at positions 509 to 807 of the family's 1533-position model. The record is from RNAcentral.
CAGUCGCCGCGGGAAUACGUAGGGGGCAAGCGUUAUCCGGAAUUACUGGGUGUAAAGGGAGCGUAGACGGUUAAACAAGUCUGAAGUGAAAUGCCGGGGCUCAACCCCGGAGCUGCUUUGGGAACUGUAGAACUGGAGUGUCGGAGGGGUAAGCGGAAUUCCCAGUGUGGCGGCGAAAUGCGUAGAUAUUGGGAGGAACACCGGUGGCGAAAGCGGCCCUCUGGCUUGUAACUGACGCUGAGGCUCGAAAGCAUGGGGAGUAAACAGGAUUAGAUACCCGCGUAGUCCCUGUCUCUUAUAC